Molecule: ribosomal RNA, 419 nt
Filed under: uncultured bacterium
Lineage: Bacteria
Description: bacterial SSU rRNA
Rfam family: Bacterial small subunit ribosomal RNA
Source: RNAcentral
GAUGAACGCUGGUGGCGUGCCUAACACAUGCAAGUCGAGCGAUUCUCUUCGGAGAAGAGCGGCGGACGGGUGAGUAACGCGUGGGUAACCUACCCUGUACACACGGAUAACAUACCGAAAGGUAUGCUAAUACGGGAUGAUAUAUAGAAAUCGCAUGAUUUUUAUAUCAAAGAUUUAUCGGUACAGGAUGGACCCGCGUCUGAUUAGCUUGUUGGCGGGGUAACGGCCCACCAAGGCGACGAUCAGUAGCCGACCUGAGAGGGUGAUCGGCCACAUUGGAACUGAGACACGGUCCAAACUCCUACGGGAGGCAGCAGUGGGGAAUAUUGCACAAUGGGCGCAAGCCUGAUGCAGCAACGCCGCGUGAGCGAUGAAGGCCUUCGGGUCGUAAAGCUCUGUCCUCAAGGAAGAUAAUGACG